GACGAACGCUGGCGGCGUGCUUAACACAUGCAAGUCGAAGAAAGUGGCGAACGGGUGAGUAACACGUGGGUGACCUGCCCUGCACUUCGGGAUAAGCCUGGGAAACUGGGUCUAAUACCGGAUAGUGUGGGAUGGGCGCGCGGCCUAUCGGCUUGUUGGUGGGGUAAUGGCCUACCAAGGGGGCGACGGGUAGCCGGCCUGCGAGGGUGGACGGCGACAUUGGGACUGCGACACGGGCCAGAAUGCUACGGGAGGCAGUAGGGGGGAAUAUUGCACAAUGGGCGGAAGCCUGAUGCAGCGACGCCGCGUGGGGGAAGACGGCCUUCGGGUGGUAAACUCCUUUCACCAUCGACGCGGUAGAUGGAGAAGAAGCACCGGCUAACUACGUGCCAGCAGCCGCGGUAAUUC
This 408-nucleotide ribosomal RNA is filed under the name uncultured bacterium. RNAcentral describes it as "partial 16S ribosomal RNA". It matches the Rfam family "Bacterial small subunit ribosomal RNA", at positions 28 to 526 of the family's 1533-position model. The record is from RNAcentral.